Molecule: non-coding RNA, 2531 nt
Organism: Oryza sativa Japonica Group (Japanese rice)
Lineage: Eukaryota; Viridiplantae; Streptophyta; Magnoliopsida; Poales; Poaceae
Source: RefSeq, a predicted model, not a curated record
CGCCCACCCCGGAUCGCGAUCUCCGCCGUAUCUCUCUCCCAUCGCUCCCCUCUAUAUCCCAUCUCAGCCACCGAGCACUCCCUUCACUAUCGUCGGCGCAGCGCCCUCGAUCUCCACCAGCGCGCCAAUGUCCGCGCCGCCGCAACACCCAAGCCAGCGACGCCACCGAUCCGCGCCGCCGGAACACCCGCGCCUCUCGCUCUCGUCUGUGCCGCUCCCCCCACCCCCUGCGCCCGCCGUAAACCCCUAAUCCUCCGCGCUCCCCUCGCCCUCCUCACGAUCUCCUCCGCGCCACCUCCAUUCUCCUGCCAGUAGCCAGCCUCAAGGCCCUGCGCUACCCAGCCGCCCGUCGUUGCCGCUCCUGCUACGUGGAUCUGGCGGCGGGAUUUGCAACGGGGACGGCGUCGCGCCCUGCUCGUGCUGGCACAGAGGUUGGGGAGAAUAGGAUGUAAAGGUUCCUUGGCUUUGGUGAGUUAUUCACCGUGAUGCAGCUCUGUCCCUGGUGCAAAUGGGAAUGGGAUCGCUCAGGGCAGUCUAAAUCAUGGAGGUUGUUUUGCCUGCAGGUUUCUUUCUUGCGUUAGAUUGGUGGGACCCUCUCCAACGUGUACAGGAAGCUCCUUCCUCUUCUUGGUUUAUCCUCGAUUGGAUUAAAAAUCUUAGAAGAAAUGUUAAUUUUCAGUAUUUAAUUAGGAGCUGUUUUAUCUGGGGAUCAUAUCUUCAUAUGGCCAGCGAUCAUUUGUUUUGAUGGUUUGACUUUGUUUCUGCUACUCAAAAUUACAUGUUUGUCGUCAUCGGGUUUGCCUGUAUAUAUACGAUUAGCUGUGCUUCUAAUUCCAGCCCCCAACGCUACAAGAGUAGUAUCAGUGGAAGUGUUUCCACCUCCAUAUAUAGUUUCUUAUCAGUAGAAUUACCGAAUUACAUCAGAUAUUAUAUAUAUUUUUAUGCGCCAUAUUGGAAAUCUUGUUUCAUGGCUAAUAUUAGCAUUCUUAUUUUUCAGAUCCGAUAAAUUUCAGGUUGCAAUUUACAAGGAUCUCUUUUGGCAGGACUACCAAGUUGCCUGGAAUCUGGGGGGAAAAGUCAACAUUUAUGCACAACAUCGGCAGCAGUGAUCUGCCGUGCAUGACCACACCGAUCGGAUACCUCCUAUGCCUAUAUCCUGUUAUUUCCAGUUGACGUCCGUAGUUCCUCCUCAUCAUUGAAGGUAAAAGAAUUAGCAAUAUAUUAAACAGUUUCUUUUUUUCCUGAAUCAUAAAUCUAUCUCAUUUUAUGUCGGUUGUUAAAACAUAUAUUUUUUAUUUGAUUUGUAUUAUUAUAUAUGGUUUCAUGGGGAGAUAUGGCCAUUCUUUGUUUAUGAGUUUGCCAAUUGAUUAGAGCUAAUUCAUUUGGUGCCAAUCGUCUACUGAAUUUUUUUAGCAGUAUAUGGAUUUUGGGGAAGAAAUAAGGUCGACUGACCACUGCUUUUCUGUUUAUUUUAAUCAAGCUUUCGCUGUUCAUAACUGCACUAAUUUAAUGAGAUUUCAAGUUGGAUUUUUUAAGCACUAAGCACUAAUGGAAUAAAUUUGUACUUUCGGCUCUGUACAAUGUUUAUCUAUCCUGUGAAAUUAAUGUAUGUGAAAUUAAUGUAUGAAGUAUAUUUGUGAUAUAGUCAAAUUGACAAGGAAAAUCAUUUAAUUUUGCUUGGGUAGUCUGGUAUGUUGUACAAUAUUGUGCAUAAUUUUUUUUAAUGAAUACUUGCAUAAAACAGAUGUUGUUAUUUCAGAUUCAGCAUAUGGUAUAUAUUACAGAAUAUGUAUAUAGCUAAGUUAAAAUUUCAGAAUGUAAAUGUGCAUACAUGGAAGCACAUGAUAAGACAGUUUAAGUUAUAAGUUACCAUGGCUACGAUUCUGAAAGUCUAAACCUUUGGAUUCAUCGACAAAUGUAACUCUGAAAGUCUGAACUUUGGUUUUAAAGUCUAAAAGUGUGAAAUUACGAACAUGCACUAGCUUAUAUCGAUCGACCGAUUGAGGCAUGGCCCAUGCUGACCAACGGUGUUGCCGCGGCCGCCAUCUUCACCGUCACCGACAUCUCUUAGGUGAGGUUCCGCCAUCUUCACCAUCACUGACAAACUGAUCAGUUAAUAAAUUGUUGUCUUCUCCAACAAAUACAUGAUACAUCUACUAUUCUGUACUUUCGCAUAGUUACUCUGAUUCUCCAAUUGGUUUCGAUUGAGUUUCUAUCAGUUUUUUCUCUCUCUGUCAAAACUACAAGGGAAGGCCAUAUAUGCCAUGAGACUGAUUGCACUGCAGAACACGUUCCUUCGUGCCCGGUAGUGCAAUUUUAUUUCUCUAUUGCUACGUGUGGUGAAUGAAAAUUAUGGUGGAAUAUUCUGUUUUUAGAUCAAUGGAAGCUAUAUGUAGAGGUAAAAUGUGUAAUAAUUGCAGCCUGUUUUGUUGUAAUAAUUUGGGAGAUGAAUUAAGAACUGAAUUUCCAAAUUUGAUUGCAUGAUGUAUCCAAUUUAGGAAAUGAAUUGAGUUAUAAAUCCUUUGCUUUUA